RNAcentral lists this ribosomal RNA (253 nucleotides) under uncultured bacterium. RNAcentral's name for it is "partial 16S ribosomal RNA". It matches the Rfam family "Bacterial small subunit ribosomal RNA", at positions 524 to 776 of the family's 1533-position model. The record is from RNAcentral.
UACGUAGGGGGCAAGCGUUGUCCGGAUUUAUUGGGCGUAAAGAGCGUGUAGGCGGCUUGGUAGGUCCGCUGUGAAAACUCGAGGCUCAACCUCGAGAUGUCGGCGGAAACCACUUGGCUAGAGUCCGGAAGAGGCGAGUGGAAUUCCUGGUGUAGCGGUGGAAUGCGCAGAUAUCAGGAGGAACACCAAUAGCGAAGGCAGCUCGCUGGGACGUUACUGACACUGAGGCGCGAAAGCGUGGGGAGCGAACAGG